Molecule: ribosomal RNA, 497 nt
Filed under: uncultured bacterium
Lineage: Bacteria
Description: partial 16S ribosomal RNA
Rfam family: Bacterial small subunit ribosomal RNA
Source: RNAcentral
GAUGAACGCUGGCGGCGUGCCUAAUACAUGCAAGUCGAGCGAACAGACGAGGAGCUUGCUCCUCUUACGUUAGCGGCGGACGGGUGAGUAACACGUGGAUAACCUACCUAUAAGACUGGGAUAACUUCGGGAAACCGGAGCUAAUACCGGAUAAUAUAUUGAACCGCAUGGUUCAAUAGUGAAAGACGGUUUUGCUGUCAAUUAUAGAUGGAUCCGCGCCGCAUUAGCUAGUUGGUAAGGUAACGGCUUACCAAGGCAACGAUGCGUAGCCGACCUGAGAGGGUGAUCGGCCACACUGGAACUGAGACACGGUCCAGACUCCUACGGGAGGCAGCAGUAGGGAAUCUUCCGCAAUGGGCGAAAGCUUGACGGAGCAACGCCGCGUGAGUGAUGAAGGUCUUCGGGUCGUAAAACUCUGUUAUUAGGGAAGAACAAAUGUGUAAGUAACUAUGCACGUCUUGACGGUACCUAAUCAGAAAGCCACGGCUAACUACGUG